AGUUACAAGGAAAAGAAAAUACAAAAUAAUAAUAAUAAUAAUAGUAAUAAUAAAUUGGGGGUGGGGCAUCAUUGAUGGGCUGGAUGAAAGUCACCAAUGGGCCAGACGUGGCCUGCGGGCCGCCACUUGAAUAGCCCUGCUUUAUACACACUGUGUUUGCUGUGUUCACAGUUUGAACUGUUGACAAUCAUACAGAAGAAAUCCUACAACAAUCUUCUUUUAAAGAAAAAAAUGUCUAAAACAACAUAAAAAACACCUCCAACAGUUAUUUCAUUCACUUAUGCUCAUCUUUUAUCUUUGUGCACAUUUCCUGUUCUUGUCCUCUCUGUGAUCAGUUUAAUUUAUGCACUCUGGCUCAAAUAAACAGCGACAGCAGCCAAAUCCAAACGCCCGAUUUAAACAGUUUAAAUGUUUAGCUCCUGCAUGCAACAUUACAUUAGCUGAAAGGUUAAAUGGUGUUGCUCAUCUUGUUUUAUUGAAGUAAACUAAUUCCUGUUGACUAAGAAAGCAAAUCAAACAAGACAAAUUCCCUUUUCUGCUAAAAUUCAGCGUGGAUGCUAAGUGCUAAGCUAAGAACACUUACUGAACACUAAUUCACACUAUUUUCUUUUAAGUAAGCUGAAAGGGAAAACAACCCCCCCUCACUGGUUUACAGAUAAUAAAUUAGAAUGCAGGGUGUGGUCUGAAGGUGGCAGUAAAGAACAUGCUGUUAAUUCGUUAAAGAUACUGUCCAGCUGAUAAACAACUGCAGAGGAAAUCCAUAAAAGGAAGACAGAGAUGGCUCUGCUUUAGAAAUAACCCUUUUAUCUGCGAGGAUAUUUGGGAAGAUGUGUGCCAGCUCAGACUGAAAACAGCUGAACUGGCCAACAACCAACACUUCUUCAAAUGGCAAUUAUUGGCUCUUGGACCGAUGUUCAUCCAGGGAAAUCAUUUGCAACUGAGUCAAAUAAACUUCAGAAUAAUUCACCUCCAGCAGCUGCAACCUCCAGCAGAAAACUUGGCACACUAAAAGGCAGUGAGACAUUAGGGUUUGAAGCAUGGAAACUUCAAAUCUUGUGCUGUGAUGUCAUCAAACAGCAUUCUUCCUGGAGCUUAAUUCCGGCUUUACGUGCGGGUGGAGAUGAAGAAGAGUUUCACUUUUCAAUGGUUGAAGCACUGGACGGAUGGGAGGGAAGUUUCUCUGCUUCUCCAGGUCGAAUCCAACUUUUACCGUAACUCCUCCACUUUUGUAUAAACAUCGAACCAAUUGCAUCUUUAAAGCUCAUCCCAGCAGUAACACCAUCUUCUCCUCAUCAUAAACUGCGCUUUGGUUACUUCACUAAGUGGGAUGUUGAUAGAUGAAACAUGGUUUGAGCCACUCAGGAUAAUUACUGUUUAAUGUAGUCCCAGUUCCCACAGCGAUGGCACAGGGGCUCUGCCCCCCCACCCCCCUCCUAUUCAUGACCACACAUGGGGUGCCUUAAGGGGGGAGUCCAAAUCCGCUGUC
Austrofundulus limnaeus is the source of this 1486-nucleotide long non-coding RNA. RefSeq lists it as uncharacterized. The transcript has 3 exons. Lineage: Eukaryota; Metazoa; Chordata; Actinopteri; Cyprinodontiformes; Rivulidae. The record is from RefSeq and is a predicted model, not a curated record.